Molecule: ribosomal RNA, 481 nt
Filed under: uncultured bacterium
Lineage: Bacteria
Description: partial 16S ribosomal RNA
Rfam family: Bacterial small subunit ribosomal RNA
Source: RNAcentral
GACGAACGCUGGCGGCGUGCUUAACACAUGCAAGUCGAGCGAUGAAUUUUCUUCGGAAAUGGAUUAGCGGCGAACGGGUGAGGAACACGUGAAGAAUCUGCCCUCCACUUUGGGAUAACACAGGGAGACCUGUGCUAAUACCGAAUAUUGAAACAUAAGUGGCAUCACUGAGUUUUGAAAGAAUUUCGGUGGAGGAUGACUUCGCGGCCUAUCAGCUAGUUGGUGAGGUAAUGGCUCACCAAGGCAACGACGGGUAGCCGGCCUGAGAGGGCGACCGGCCACACUGGGACUGAGACACGGCCCAGACUCCUACGGGAGGCAGCAGUGGGGAAUAUUGGGCAAUGGAGGAAACUCUGACCCAGCGACGCCGCGUGCGGGAUGAAGGCCUUCGGGUUGUAAACCGCUUUCAGUAGGGAAGAAGCGAAAGUGACGGUACCUACAAAAGAAGCACCGGCUAACUAUGUGCCAGCAGCCGCAGUAA